CUCAUCGUAUUAUGGAGUCUUUUCCCCCAGAAGAACGCACUGCCAUAUUCUCGUCCUACACCACAACCCGGAUAAUUACGAGAGUGGGCAAGACUUUAUUUGAGUAUUUCUGGGCGAUAAGCCCCCCGCAGGGGGGUUUUUUAAAAUUGGUAGUGUAUAUUCCCCGGGCCUCACCUUGGGACCCCUUUUGAAACUGGCAGGUAAAUUUUUUGUGAGGGGGGGUGAAUUUCCCGGUGGUGGGGGGAAAUGGUAAGAUUUGGAGGAAUACGGGGGGGAAGGGGGGCCCCCCUGAAAAAAAACGACUCUUCAGUUCGAAAAGGUGGGGAGCAAACAGGGUUAGAAUCCCUGGUAGUCCCCCCCCUAAAAGGAGUUGGCCUUGGAAGGUUGUCCCCUUGAGGCGGGGCUUUCCGGAGCUAACGCGUAAAAUCGACCCCCCUGGGGGAGUCCGGCCCGCAAGGUUAAAACUCAAAAUUAAUUACCGGGGGGCCCGCCCAAGCGGGGGAACCAUGUGGUUUUAAUUUGAUGCAACGCGAAAGACCCUUACCUACUCCUUACACCCAGAAACUUUUCCAGAGAUGGUUUGGUCCUUCGAAAACUUGAGACAAGUGCUGCAGGCCGUCGUCAGCUCGUGUUGUGAAUGUUGGGUUAAGUCCCGCAACGAGCGCACCCUUAUCCUUUGUUGCCAGCGGUUCGGCCGGGAACUCAAAGGAGACUGCCAGUGAUAAACUGGAGGAAGGUGGGGAUGACGUCAAGUCAUCAUGGCCCUUACGAGUAGGGCUACACACGUGCUACAAUGGCGCAUACAAAGAGAAGCGACCUCGCGAGAGCAAGCGGACCUCAUAAAGUGCGUCGUAGUCCGGAUUGGAGUCUGCAACUCGACUCCAUGAAGUCGGAAUCGCUAGUAAUCGUAGAUCAGAAUGCUACGGUGAAUACGUUCCCGGGCCUUGUACACCCCGCCCGUCACACCAUGGGAGUGGGUUGCAAAAAGAAAGUAGGUAGCUAACUUCGGGAGGGCGCUUAUCUCCUUGUGUUUUGGGAUAU
RNAcentral lists this ribosomal RNA (1041 nucleotides) under Enterobacter sp. Its description in RNAcentral is "partial 16S ribosomal RNA". It matches the Rfam family "Bacterial small subunit ribosomal RNA", at positions 456 to 1478 of the family's 1533-position model. The record is from RNAcentral. Lineage: Bacteria; Pseudomonadati; Pseudomonadota; Gammaproteobacteria; Enterobacterales; Enterobacteriaceae.